This 497-nucleotide ribosomal RNA is filed under the name uncultured bacterium. RNAcentral's name for it is "partial 16S ribosomal RNA". It matches the Rfam family "Bacterial small subunit ribosomal RNA", at positions 28 to 507 of the family's 1533-position model. The record is from RNAcentral.
GAUGAACGCUGGCGGCGUGCCUAAUACAUGCAAGUCGAGCGAACAGACGAGGAGCUUGCUCCUCUGACGUUAGCGGCGGACGGGUGAGUAACACGUGGAUAACCUACCUAUAAGACUGGGAUAACUUCGGGAAACCGGAGCUAAUACCGGAUAAUAUAUUGAACCGCAUGGUUCAAUAGUGAAAGACGGUUUUGCUGUCACUUAUAGAUGGAUCCGCGUCGCAUUAGCUAGUUGGUAAGGUAACGGCUUACCAAGGCGACGAUGCGUAGCCGACCUGAGAGGGUGAUCGGCCACACUGGAACUGAGACACGGUCCCGACUCCUACGGGAGGCAGCAGUAGGGAAUCUUCCGCAAUGGGCGAAAGCCUGACGGAGCAACGCCGCGUGAGUGAUGAAGGUCUUCGGAUCGUAAAGCUCUGUUAUUAGGGAAGAACAAAUGUGUAAGUAACUAUGCACGUCUUGACGGUACCUAAUGAGAAAGCCACGGCUAACUACGUG